CCCUUAGAUGUUCUGGGCCGCACGCGCGCUACACUGAUGAAUUCAACGAGUUUUCCACCUUGACCGAGAGGUCCGGGAAAUCUUUUCAACUUUCAUCGUGCUGGGGAUAGAUUAUUGCAAUUGUUAAUCUUGAACGAGGAAUUCCUAGUAAGCGCAAGUCAUCAGCUUGCGUUGAUUACGUCCCUGCCCUUUGUACACACCGCCCGUCGCUCCUACCGAUUGAAUGGUCCGGUGAAGCGUUCGGACCGUGGCCUUUGGACGGUUCGCCGUCUGUUGGCUGCGGGAAGUUCGUUAAACCUUAUCAUUUAGAGGAAGGAGAAGUCGUAACA
Molecule: ribosomal RNA, 329 nt
Filed under: uncultured eukaryote
Lineage: Eukaryota
Description: partial 18S ribosomal RNA
Rfam family: Eukaryotic small subunit ribosomal RNA
Source: RNAcentral